CCACUUUUUUAUACAAUAACCAACCCACUUUUCAAUAUCCAAAUCAGUCCAACCCCAUUAACAAUAUAUUACAGCAAGCAAACGACCCCACCUCUUUCUUUUUCAUUUUCACACAACAAAAUCUAAUCUAGAAACGUGAUCCAUCGAUUCCAGCGACUCAAAUCGCGAACCAGCAGCCCAGCUACCGCAAAACGCAGCCCAGCAGUCCAUGUCACUCGCGCGUGUCUAUCUUCGUACAAGGAUCGUUGUUGGAUUUUCUAUGUGUUAUCAUCUUGGUGCCUCGCAUGUCCUUGUUCAAGAUCGGAAGACUCCCUUCAUAUUUCGGUUGGAAAUUGGUACUCGUUCUAAGAUGGAAACCUUAUCCUCCAUUUCGAAUUUGAAUUUGUUGAAAUUCCAUCCCGAAUUUCCUCCUAUUUUCUGCCCUAAUUUAAUUAUAUAAAUACCUUCAUCUUUCUCUUUGUGAAGGGAAAAAAAAGAGAGAGUGAGAGGGUUACGAAAAUGGAAAAAAAGUGAGACAAAAUAGACGUUGCAGGUAACUUGUAAAAGUUGGAUAAGAGCCAACAAUAGAGAGAAAAGUAGAGAAAUUAUUAGUCAUAUACAUUUAUAUAAGAAUACUUAGGAAAUAGGUUGCAAAAUAGAUUGAAAAAUCCAGGUUUUACUCCCUCUUUUUACUGGUUCGCUUCUGUUUUCUUUAUCGAACUUCUCGGAGUUUUGUUUCGAUGGUGGAAGCUUGCUGUCUCUGCUCAUUCAGUCUAAGUUCAGCUGCUCGGAAAAAGGUAAUAGUCCCUUCUUCACUUACGUUAAUCGUUAUAUUAUGCGUUUAAUUUAUCUCGGUUAGAAAUCCAAAAUACUUAAAUGUGCAUUUAUUUUUCCUUACACAGUGAAGUCAUUUAGCUGAAUCAUGCUUAAUAUGCUAGUACAGUGGUCUCUCUCUGGUUAUUUUAAUGAAGUUGAAACAUUGUUCUUUUACAACUCUAACAUAUCAGUGGAUUAGGAUGUUUAAGUGGCCCAUUUUAAUAGGCUUAUGAUGUAUUCAUGUAUAUCUUCUAUGUAUAUAUGGUUAUAUCAUGUGUUAUGACUAUCAUUUUACUUUUCUAUAGUAUGUAGCUUGAAGAACAUACUCAAGCAUGCUUAAAAUCAUUAAUUGUCAUAUUCUGUUAUAAGUUCUUUUUUUAUGCUAUGAGUGUAGUCUUCAAAUCAAAGUUUGUAAUGUGGGUUCUUCACUUUUCUUAUGUGUUCUACUUCCUAGAAUGAUGGUAAAUAAUGUUUUGCAUUUGAAACAAGUUGCUUAGUAGACUAAAGAGUUGACUUUGUUAAUGAUAAGUUUUAGUGUUACUUUCUUGUUUAUAUUGAGAUCCUUCAUUGCUCUUAAUACUAUUUAAUUAUGCUACUUGAUUGUUUAAACCACAUCUUUGUUAGACUUUGACGAAAUUGAUUUGUUAAUUUCGUUUUUGUUGCAUGUGAUACCACUCGAGUCCUCAUGGAAUCCAAUCUUCUUCCCUCAUAUUUCGGAUGGGCCAUAAAGGCCCUAAAUCCCCUUUUUCCUUCGAGUCAGCCCCUUCAGCAAGCUGCAAAAUUGAUGUACAGGUUGAGGUCGAUAAAUGUAGGCUGGAAAUUAAUUUUACAGGUCUCUAAAAAUCCCAAAAGAGGUGAUGGUAGUCUGAAAUGGGCAGCAUACAUUCAGCAUACAUCCCAAUAUACACGGAAACGAGUUGAAAUACAUAUCGUAUACAUCCAUAUACGUUUGGUGUAUAAACAUAUUUUAAGUGUGGAAAAUAAGGAAUAUAGGGCCAGAAGCCCAAAGGAAAUUCCAGAAAGCCCAACAGGUCUAAGUAGGUCAAGAUCCAUUUUGGAUUACUUAGAUUUAGGACAGGUUAUAAAGAUUUGGGCCUAAAGCCCAAAUUUAAUACUCUCUUCCCUUUUACUCUUAUUUGUAUUGUUUUAAGUAGAGAAAAUUGUAUAAAAUAGCAAUCUUAAGUUUAUAAAAAAUGUUUCUAAUUGUAUAAAGCAGAGAAAAUUGUAUAAAUACAUAUAUUUUUGUU
Long non-coding RNA from Solanum lycopersicum (tomato), 2042 nucleotides. RefSeq lists it as uncharacterized. The record is from RefSeq and is a predicted model, not a curated record. Lineage: Eukaryota; Viridiplantae; Streptophyta; Magnoliopsida; Solanales; Solanaceae.